UACGGGGGGGGCAAGCGUUGUUCGGAAUUACUGGGCGUAAAGGGCUCGUAGGCGGCCAACUAAGUCAGACGUGAAAUCCCCAGGCUCAACCUGGGAACUGCGUCUGAUACUGGAUGGCUUGAAUCCGGGAGAGGGAUGCAGAAUUCCAGGUGUAGCGGUGAAAUGCGCAGAUAUCAGGAGGAACACCGGUGGCGAAGGCGGUUCUCUGGGCAUGUCCUGACGCUGAGGAGCGAAAGUGUGGGGAGCGAACAGG
This 253-nucleotide ribosomal RNA is filed under the name uncultured bacterium. RNAcentral describes it as "partial 16S ribosomal RNA". It matches the Rfam family "Bacterial small subunit ribosomal RNA", at positions 524 to 776 of the family's 1533-position model. The record is from RNAcentral.